UGUUCUAUGAACCACAUAUAGAAUAAUCUCCUGCCCAGUGAUCAUUUCAACGGCCGCGGUAUCCUAACCGUGCAAAGGUAGCAUAAUAAUUUGCCCAUUAAUUGUGGGCUAGCAUGAACGGGGUAACGAAAUAAGAUCUGUAUCAAUAAGACUUAUAUAAACUACUAUAAAAGUGAAGAAGCUUUUAUUAUAAUAAAGGACAAGAAGACCCUAUAGAGCUUUAUCUAAAAUAAUAAAAUAUUUCAAUAGAUUCGGUUGGGGCGACCCAGGAUAGCUCAUCCUACAUUUUCUAGAUCAAUAAAUCACUACAUAGAUCCUACCAAGAUUACAAAUCAAGCUACCUUAGGGAUAACAGGCUAAUCCCACUAUAGAGUUCAUAUCAGCAGUGGGGAUUGGCACCUCGAUGUUGGCUUAGAUGACCUUUUUGGCGCAGAUGUCAUCAAAGGGGGUUUGUUCAACCCAUUAUUAUCU
RNAcentral lists this ribosomal RNA (471 nucleotides) under Grania chilensis. Its description in RNAcentral is "partial 16S ribosomal RNA". It matches the Rfam family "Bacterial large subunit ribosomal RNA", at positions 1819 to 2597 of the family's 2925-position model. Lineage: Eukaryota; Metazoa; Annelida; Clitellata; Enchytraeida; Enchytraeidae. The record is from RNAcentral.